UUCGCCCUUAGAGGGUGCUCUUGGCUCAGGAUGAACGCUGGCGGCGUGCUUAACACAUGCAAGUCGAACGAGAACCAAUGGAAUGAGGAUUCGUCCAAAGGAAGUUGGGGAAAGUGGCGGACGGGUGAGUAACGCGUGAGCUAUCUGCCUUGGAGUGGGGAAUAACGGUUGGAAACAGCCGCUAAUACCGCAUGAUACAGCUAUCCCGCAUGGGGUUGGCUGUCAAAGAUUUAUCGCUCUGAGAUGAGCUCGCGUCUGAUUAGCUUGUUGGCGGGGUAACGGCCCACCAAGGCGACGAUCAGUAGCCGGACUGAGAGGUUGGCCGGCCACAUUGGGUCUGAGACACGGCCCAGACUCCUACGGGAGGCAGCAGUGGGGAAUAUUGGGCAAUGGGCGCAAGCCUGACCCAGCAACGCCGCGUGAAGGAAGAAGGCUUUCGGGUUGUAAACUUCUUUUCUCAGGGACGAAGAAAGUGACGGUACCUGAGGAAUAAGCCACGGCUAACUACGUGCCAGCAGCCGCGGUAAUACGUAGGUGGCAAGCGUUAUCCGGAUUUAUUGGGUGUAAAGGGCGUGUAGGCGGGAGCGCAAGUCAGAUGUGAAAACUCAGGGCUCAACCCUGAGCCUGCAUUUGAAACUGUGUUUCUUGAGUGCUGGAGAGGCAAUCGGAAUUCCGUGUGUAGCGGUGAAAUGCGUAGAUAUACGGAGGAACACCAGUGGCGAAGGCGGAUUGCUGGACAGUAACUGACGCUGAGGCGCGAAAGCGUGGGGAGCAAAAAGGAUUAGAUACCCUGGUAGUCCACGCCGUAAACGCCCUAAAGGGGGUUGGGGGGACUGACCCCCUCCGUGCUGCAGCUAACGCAAUAAGUAUCCCACCUGGGGAGUACGAUCGCAAGGUUGAAACUCAAAGGAAUUGACGGGGGCCCGCACAAGCGGUGGAGUAUGUGGUUUAAUUUGAAGCAACGCGAAGAACCUUACCAGGUCUUGACAUCGUGCGCAUAGCUCAGAGAUGAGUGAAGCCCUUCGGGGCGCAUAGACAGGUGGUGCAUGGUUGUCGUCAGCUCGUGUCGUGAGAUGUUGGGUUAAGUCCCGCAACGAGCGCAACCCUUGUAUUUAGUUGCUAUGCAAGAGCACUCUAGAUAGACUGCCGUUGACAAAACUCAGGAAGGUGGGGAUGACGUCAAAUCAUCAUGCCCCUUACGACCUGGGCCACACACGUACUACAAUGGCGCGCAACAGAGGGAAGCAAAACAGCGAUGUGGAGCAAACCCCUAAAACGCGUCCCAGUUCAGAUUGCAGGCUGCAACCCGCCUGCAUGAAGUCGGAAUUGUUAGUAAUCGCGGAUCAGCAUGCCGCGGUGAAUACGUUCCCGGGCUUUGCACUCACCGCCCGUCA
Molecule: ribosomal RNA, 1394 nt
Filed under: uncultured bacterium
Lineage: Bacteria
Description: 16S ribosomal RNA
Rfam family: Bacterial small subunit ribosomal RNA
Source: RNAcentral